This 309-nucleotide ribosomal RNA is filed under the name Hymenolepis diminuta. RNAcentral describes it as "partial 12S ribosomal RNA". The record is from RNAcentral. Lineage: Eukaryota; Metazoa; Platyhelminthes; Cestoda; Cyclophyllidea; Hymenolepididae.
AUUAGAUACCCCAUUAAUAUUAUAUUAUAUUUUAUCUUAGUUUUAUAACUAAAAUAGUUUGGCAGCGAGCGAAUCCGUUCAGGGGAAGGUGUGUUAUAAAGGACGAUCCGCCUAUUAAUUUACUUAUUUUAUGUUGGUGUAUAUCUGGUUUGAUAUUAUUGCUUUAAUAGCCUAAUUUGUGUAUAUUGAUUAUUUAAACCAAGUUUAUGUGCUGCUUAUUUAAGUUUUUAUGCGUUACAUUUAUAAAUUUAAAUUUGUUAUAGUUUAAUAUUUAGGACUUGAUAGUAGUGUAGAUUUAUUGUGUCUAUG